Molecule: ribosomal RNA, 415 nt
Filed under: uncultured Funneliformis
Lineage: Eukaryota; Fungi; Glomeromycota; Glomeromycetes; Glomerales; Glomeraceae
Description: partial 28S ribosomal RNA
Source: RNAcentral
GAGAGUUAAACAGUACGUGAAAUUGUUGAAAGGGAAACGAUUGAAGUCAGUCAUACUAACGGGAAAUCAACCUCUUGAGUUUGGUCUCGUGGGUUUCGAAGAGUUUAAAAGCCUUCGGAUUUUCGAGAUUGGGCUCUUCUGGUGUACUUUCUCGUACGGUUAGUCAACAUCGGUUUUGAAUGUCAUAAAAUGACUGAAGGAAUGUGGCUUCGAUCUCGUAUUGAAGUGUUAUAACCUUUGGUAGAUGUGAUGUUUGAGACCGAGGAUUGCAACGGAUACCCUUCUGGGCUAUUCGUCUGAUCUCUGAAACGUUGCCUUGAUGUCGAAAGCUUGCUUAUGAUGUUUAGGGUAUUACGGUCAAAAGGUUAGAACGGAUUAAAUUCGUUAAGGAUGUUGACGUAAUGACUUUAAACGA